GCAGACCUAUCCCGAAGUUCAAGGAAGCAGAGAGGCCGAAGAAAGAAGCUGCCCUUGGCCAGGAUGGGGAAGGACCUAAGCCGUCAGUGUCCUGGAGAUCCAGCGUCUUAAUUCAUUCAGGGUAGCCCGUCCCGCCCUCCAGACUGCUGGGCACACCAGGGGCUUUGCUCCUGCUCUGUCCCAGGACUCGGGGCCCCUCCAGGGCAGCUGCCGUGACGUUGUGGAUAUGAGGCAUUCAGCCACCUCCCAGAAUGCGCCAUGCUCUUGCCCAGCCUGGACUCCCCACUCUCUGCUGCUGGCGCCAGGACAGUCUCACCCACCUCGGCCUCUAGCUCCUCCUCCUCAAGCCUCAGGUCUGAACUUGGCCAUGGCCUCUGCCCAGAAGCCUUCUGCACCUCUGUCAGAUCCCCGUUUACCCCCAGCAGGACCCUCCCUUAGGGCACUUGGUACAAUUUCACAUCCGUGACAGUGACAGUCACCGCCCCCAUGCUGUGAGCCCCACGGGAGUCCGAGCUGACGUCAUUCUUCCCCUACUAUGUGCCUCAUCCACUUUGAGCUCCUG
This 562-nucleotide long non-coding RNA is filed under the name Pan troglodytes (chimpanzee). RNAcentral's name for it is "long non-coding RNA NONPTRT009414". Lineage: Eukaryota; Metazoa; Chordata; Mammalia; Primates; Hominidae. The record is from RNAcentral.